Molecule: long non-coding RNA, 2809 nt
Organism: Columba livia (rock pigeon)
Lineage: Eukaryota; Metazoa; Chordata; Aves; Columbiformes; Columbidae
Exons: 3
Source: RefSeq, a predicted model, not a curated record
CAGGACUAAGCCCUGCUUAAGGUGAUAGUGAGCACCUCUGGUAUGAGAGACUGGGCACUGUGAUCCUGUUUGUGGUGUUACUCACAGCAAGAAUAGGCCCUGGCUUGCAGCAAAGAGGCCAGAAGGUACAGCCACACAGUGUCCUGGUUGUAUGUGAAGUGGCCUUGACGUUCCUCAGGCCCUUAGAAUUGCAGCAAAGCAGGUGACAGUUGUUAUGGAGUUACAACCAGCUAUAAGCAUCCAGGGUUGAAUGAUCAUUAACUUACUUCUGAAGAGAAGGAUUUCAGCUCAGAGAGAAGAGAUACGAGGGACAACGCAAGCAAAGCACUGGUGUGUUGUGCGUGGCUGGAACCAAGCAGUCAGCCACAAACUGAGCUGCAAAGCUGUUCCAGUUGCAUCCUGAUUCCUGAGAAGCCACUCCACGGAGGUGUAUGUUUGGACCAAUACAGCAUGUUGUCGCUGCGGAAGAGGAGGGCAGGGCUAGGUGUGCUGCAUCUGCUCUUCUUGGCAUCCCGGCAGUGUGUUUCCUCCUGCAGUAAAGUGUGUUGGAAAGCUUAAAUAAACCUUUCAGGAGCACAGCUCAUGACACAGUCUUGGAGCAGCGGGGCCAUGGCCCAUGUAAGUGAGGGGAGCCUGGGAUGAAAAGAAGACUCUUGCAUCUUUAACUGAAAUAAUUGCCCAAUCAAGUCCCAAGUUUAGCACAAGUGGGAUAAAUUAGCUUGCUGUGUAGAAUCACCUGAAGUAACUGCACCUUGCAGAGCAAGAAGGAACUCCUCGAUAUCCUGAUGACACAUCAGGACAGCAAUUCUUUAACACUUGCAGAGUGUUUUUUAUCUUCAAAGCUUCACAAAUGUUAGCUAAUUAAUCCUCAUAAAGCCUGAGGGAGUUAACGUAUGUAUUGUUACAAGCCACAGGCCAACAAAGGACUUCACAGUUGUCACCAUGCUUCAUGCUGUGGCUGCUGCUGGCAUCAGCCAGGAAAGAAAUAAAGAUCAUACUAAAAAGCACUCUCCUUUCCUCCCCUGGCAAGUGGCAGUUCAAUGAGCCUCUCCACAGUUAUGUAGAAACUGGGAUACAAAAUGAAGCUGGGCUACUUCUAUCCAUCACAGUGUAAUACAGCCAGUCACAGCUAAUGCCUCUUACCUAGCAAGCUGUGAGCUACGGCCCAGAGAACUGGGGUGCAGAGUGUGCACAGUCACAAUCCCAGCCAGCCGGUGCCAGCUCCUACACUGCUGGAGCCAGGCUACAGCCCUGAAGUUUAAUCUGCACACCUCGGGGACAUGCAGAAGUAGAUUCAUAGUUGAGAUACACAGAGAAACUGAGCAGCGUGUUGGUAGCUCUACAGAAACUAUAGCCCUGUCUGACCUCUCUUGCUGCUUCUUCUAGAGCCAUGAUACCAGGGGUGAAGCAACAGCCCUGGGGCAUCUUGCUGCUGCGAUAGAAAGAAAAUGUGCUCCUCUUUAGCACAGAUAAAGGCUAUCUGUGCAUGGCUGAAGUGAGAUAGUGUUUGGGAGCUUCCCAGGAUACUAAAGACUGUAUUUUCUUUCAUGUCUUGUGCUGUUCAAGCUCAAGGCACUGCCCCCUUCGAACUUGCUGUGUUUUGUAGGUCUCCCCACUUGCAUAACUGCAAGCAGAACGGAAUGGCUCAUAUAAAUAAUAUGGCUCAGGGAGGGCAUAUGUAACAGUGUACGUGCUGAUAUGAACAUCAUGUGUCUCUGCACAGUGUACCAGGAGGUUUGACAUCUCUGCUGCUACAUCUGUCAGUCAAUAAACCCCAUGCUGCCCACCUUUAGAGGGUGAAUUACAUGUGGAGGACUGUUUUCUCUGUAGUUACCAGGGCCAAGACAGAGCACUGGGAUUGUGGGAACCUGUGUGGAAACUGCCGUGGUAGACACGGCUUGUGGAACAAAGCUAGAUGUGGCUGCAAGGCAUCAGUUUUCUGCUUGACUGAAAGUCAGGCUAUGCACCCUGAAGGAGGUUUGUUUUAGCCUGUUGUUAAAGACCUCAUUUAAUGGUGAUUCUACUGCCACCUCAGUGAAUCUCUUCCAGUGUAUCUCUAUCCUGUUUAAGGUUUUCCUAAUAUCCAACCUAAAUCUCUCAAAUUGUCACUGUUGCAAUUACUUUCUCAUCCAUUACUUCUCCCCAUUUACUUCCUGUCCAAUCCAUCAUGAACAUGGAAAUUGCUUUAUUUCCUUUCUCUGUACAACAGCUGGGUUGUACUUAAAGGAUGCUGUUGUGUCUCAGCUCAGACUUCCCCUUAGUUUAAACAACCCCAGUUCAUUCAGCCUGUAUUUGCAGAUUGUGAUUUCUAAACAGCUGAUCUCUUUUGAUCCUCACAUCUGAUAUGUCCCUGGUUGUUCCAGGUCCUCCUGGGGACAUACUGGAGAUGUGACCUCACCAGUGCUGAACCAACAAGUAAGAAUUACCUCAUAUGUUUAUAAGGUUACCCAGCAAGAGAUCUCUGCCUUCUGGGUGUGUCAGUGUUUACUGGGGCCCCAGGAUGGGCACAGGCCCGUGUGUUGAGCAGGGACAGCAAUUCCCAGUGGUCUAGAAAACUUCUCAAUUAUAUAUUUACCAUCCCAUUUUCAGUUUUUCCCUUUUUCAUUAUAUCAAGUGUAGUAGUAAAGGAAACUUAACCUCUGUUAAUAAAUCUCUUCUCUUGUAUCUUCCCAAUUUAGGAUUGCUAAAACACAGCAGCAGUAGUGAUGAUAUCACAGCUGCACUAGAAAGUACAUUCCAAAAUUAACAUAACCGUGACUCCACCAAGUGAAGCAAACAUUGUAAUUGGUGAGUCAUGAUAACGUGUAGA